Molecule: ribosomal RNA, 681 nt
Filed under: Klebsiella sp. 6hN14
Lineage: Bacteria; Pseudomonadati; Pseudomonadota; Gammaproteobacteria; Enterobacterales; Enterobacteriaceae
Description: bacterial SSU rRNA
Rfam family: Bacterial small subunit ribosomal RNA
Source: RNAcentral
GUCGAACGGUAGCACAGAGAGCUUUGCUCUCGGGUGACGAGUGGCGGACGGCGUGAGUAAUGUCUGGGAAACUGCCUGAUGGAGGGGGAUAACUACUGGAAACAGGUAGCUAAUACCGCAUAACGUCGCAAGACCAAAGAGGGGGACCUUCGGGCCUCUUGCCAUCAGAUGUGCCCAGAUGGGAUUAGCUAGUAGGUGGGGUAACGGCUCACCUAGGCGACGAUCCCUAGCUGGUCUGAGAGGAUGACCAGCCACACUGGAACUGAGACACGGUCCAGACUCCUACGGGAGGCAGCAGUGGGGAAUAUUGCACAAUGGGCGCAAGCCUGAUGCAGCCAUGCCGCGUGUAUGAAGAAGGCCUUCGGGUUGUAAAGUACUUUCAGCGGGGAGGAAGGGAGUAAGGUUAAUAACCUUAUUCAUUGACGUUACCCGCAGAAGAAGCACCGGCUAACUCCGUGCCAGCAGCCGCGGUAAUACGGAGGGUGCAAGCGUUAAUCGGAAUUACUGGGCGUAAAGCGCACGCAGGCGGUCUGUCAAGUCGGAUGUGAAAUCCCCGGGCUCAACCUGGGAACUGCAUUCGAAACUGGCAGGCUGGAGUCUUGUAGAGGGGGGUAGAAUUCCAGGUGUAGCGGUGAAUGCGUAGAGAUCUGGAGGAAUACCGGUGGCGAAGGCGGCCCCCUG